CAUGAUUAUUUCAAACAAUAUUAUUUUACAAAAUCAGUCAGGUCUGGAAAGAAGCAGCUGUAGUAAAUGUAAUAUGUGUGAAAAAUAGUCAUGUUU
RNAcentral lists this signal recognition particle RNA (96 nucleotides) under Enterobacteriaceae endosymbiont of Donacia vulgaris. RNAcentral's name for it is "signal recognition particle sRNA small type". It matches the Rfam family "Bacterial small signal recognition particle RNA". From Rfam's summary of the family: The signal recognition particle (SRP) is a universally conserved ribonucleoprotein involved in the co-translational targeting of proteins to membranes. Archaeal SRP consists of a 7S RNA and homologues of the eukaryotic SRP19 and SRP54 proteins. Lineage: Bacteria; Pseudomonadati; Pseudomonadota; Gammaproteobacteria; Enterobacterales; Enterobacteriaceae. The record is from RNAcentral.